Molecule: non-coding RNA, 74 nt
Organism: Rhipicephalus sanguineus (brown dog tick)
Lineage: Eukaryota; Metazoa; Arthropoda; Arachnida; Ixodida; Ixodidae
Source: the annotation of a RefSeq genome assembly
GUUUCCGUGGUGUAGUGGUUAUCACAUGCGCCUCACACGCGCAAGGUCUCCGGUUCGACCCGCGGGCGGAAACA